AACAUUCCGGUGAAGAUGAUAAAGAUGAGAAAGAGAAAGAAGAACUUGUUGGUAGGAAGGUUAAGGUAGAGAAGCCAGAGAUGUUUAGAGGGUCUAGACCUGCACCACUAGAUGUUCUAAGUCGUGUGACAAUGAAUCAAACCGUUGAGACUCCACGUUCGACUAUUAAAGGCUUCCUCAAUGUGCCUCAGCAGACCGAGCUCAAAUUCAGCAGGGAAAAUCUCAGUAAAGUUGAAGAACAGCUUAAGAGUGCUUUCGUUGUAUUUUACCAGAAACUUAGGCUUCUAAAGAGCUUUGGGUAAGAUAAUGGUAACAAGUUUGUGAUAGUUGGUUAGUUUUCCUAAUUUAAGUUAACUGGUUGCUAAUUAUGACUAUUGAUGAAUGGAAACAGAUUCUUGAAUACAUUGGCAUUUUCGAAGAUCAUGAAGAAGUAUGAUAAGGUAGGUAUUUCCCCUGCCAAUAUUUAGAUGAUUGUUGAAAGGCAUAGAAUACAAGAAAUGAACAAAAGAAAGUUGUUCAACUCUGUUCACUUUUCUUUUGGUGAGUGUUUGGCUUGUGAUACUUUGUACUCAUACCUCAUCAACUUUUCAGGUUACUUCAAGAAAUACAUUAAAACCGUACAUGAAGAUGGUAGACAACUCCUACCUUGGCAGCUCUGAUGAGGUUAGAACAAUUUUCGAUCUCUGUAGAUAUACAUGUUGAAAAAUUGUGUAUUUGCAACUGUUGUCUUGUCCAAAUGCGCGCCAUAGUUUCUUCUCUGUGGCAGUGUCUUAUUUAGUCUCAUAUGAAAGUUGUAAUACUACAGGUUACCAAGCUUAUAGAGAGGGUUGAAAGUGCAUUCAUCAAGCAUUUCUCAAACUCAAAUCGCCGAAAAGGGAUGGCCGUUUUAAGGCCAAAGCCAAAGAUAGAAAGACAUAGGAUAACAUUUUUCAUGGGUAAGACCUCUAACUAAUCAAAUCAGUACAUAUAGAGUUAAAGUUUCUUAGACUGAUCAAAUUUCUACAUCGUUUUCUUUGAUCUGAAUCUUGUUUAUUGCAAACCUGUUAGGUUGCUUUGCUGGCUGCACAGUUGCUCUUACAUUAGCCCUGAUUUUGCUAGUACGCGCUCACGAUAUUAUGAAUGAGUCAGGGAGGAAACAGUACAUGGAUACCAUAUUUCCCUUAUACAGGUAACGACACUAAGGUUUUGUUUUGCUUAAUAUCAUCUGUCUAACUCUGAAAGAAAAUGGAUAGUAGUACUUCAUUUGCUUGACAUGUCAAAAUUCCAAAUGCAGCUUGUUCGGGUUUGUUUUUCUACACAUGCUUAUGUAUGCUGGAAACAUAUACUUCUGGAGACGGUACAGAGUCAAUUACUCUUUCAUAUUUGGUUUCAAGCAAGGAACUGAGUUGGGCUACAGAGAGGUUCUCCUUGUUAGUUUUGGUCUGGGAGUGCUAGCACUAGCUGCUGUUCUCUCAAAUCUUGACAUGGAAAUGGACCCCCAAACCAAAGAGUACAAACAAUUAACUGAACUUCUCCCUCUCUUCUUGGUUUUGGUAAGAUCAUUGAACAUUUAAUUUCAGCUGUCAUCAUACUUCUAGCUAGAAGUCUAAACUAAACUCAAUUCUCAAUGUGCAGUUUGUAAUUGUGAUAUUAGUAUGCCCAUUCAACAUCGUCUAUCGCUCAAGUCGCUAUUUCUUCCUUGUUUGUGUAUUUCAUUGUAUCUGUGCUCCUCUAUACAAGGUAAAACUCAACUUCAGACACCUUAUUUGAAUGAUCAAAGUGAUGAACAUGACUAAUUAACUGGUUACUGGUCACUGGUUUAAGGGUCUCAACACCUCAAUAUUUUUGUUGUCUGACAGGUCACACUGCCAGAUUUCUUCUUGGCUGAUCAGUUAACUAGCCAGGUUAGUGAAAUGCACCAAUCUUCUAAUCUGACGUUUCAGUGAUAUCAGUUUUCUUCUUUCAUUUCUCUCACUAUGAAUCAAAAACUGAUACCUGAAUUUAUUUUAAUGAAUGUAGGUGCAAGCCAUUAGAAGCUUGCAGUUCUAUAUUUGCUACUAUGGUUGGGGAGAUUAUAAACUCAGAGAAGAUAGUUGCAGAUCAAGCGAUGUAUUCAAGACUUUCAAUUUCAUAGUUGCUUGUAUUCCAUAUUGGUCCCGCCUUCUUCAGGUACAUCCCAUUCAUCCCUGUACUUGUUUACAUUGUUGUUGGCUUAUUCCUUAACAGUUUUAAGCUUUUGGGUUGACAAAAGCGUCCAAGCCCUAUUUUCAUCCUUCAGUCACUUAGUAAUGUUUUCCAUUUCAUUGUUUUUCAGUGCCUACGACGCCUGUUUGAAGAGAAGGACCCACACCAAGGUUACAAUGGGCUCAAGUACUUCUUCACAAUAGUAGCUGUCACCAUGAGGACAGCUUACAGUCUUAAUAUGGAUGUGAACUGGAAAAUUCUUGCCGGGAUUUUUUCGAUCAUUGCAGCAUUGUAUGGAACAUAUUGGGAUCUUGUUGUAGACUGGGGACUUCUGCACCGCAACUCAAAGAAUCGCUGGUUGAGAGACAAACUUUUAAUCCCUUACAAUAGUGUAUACUUUGGAGCUAUGGUAAGAACAGCAUUGAGAACUUCCAUUGUUAAGUGACAUUAACAUUCUCUAACUGUCUAUUUUUUGUUUAUGGGAAUGGCAGGUGUUGAAUGUGUUGCUGAGAUUUGCUUGGUUGCAGACUGUUUUAAAUUUUAAUGUUCCUUUCAUGCAUAAACAAACAAUGUUAGCAGUCGUGGCCAGCUUGGAGAUAAUUCGUCGAGGGAUAUGGAGUUUUUUCAGGUUGGAGAAUGAACAUUUGAACAAUGUUGGCAAGUACAGGGCAUUCAAGUCAGUGCCACUGCCCUUCAACUAUGAUGAAGACCACAAAGAUCUGUAGGCUUGGACUCAUGAAAUCAUUUUGGCCAUUCUGGAAGACAGGAAUAUUUCACCAAAACCAGUGAAGUGUAUAGAAAAGCUAUCAAGCUGCAAAUUUUGUAUCCCCUUCUAUUUUUUGAUUUAUUUAUGCUGGCUGCAUUGUUAUUCUUGGAGGGCCUCAAGUAAUGUGAGACCAGGUGGGAAAGAAAGAAAUAGAAGGCACACCAUGGAUUACCUUGGAAAGAAUCUUCAACAAUGGCUCCCAUGCAUGCAUCCCUUGUCUUUCUCCAGAGGCCAUCCUACUUGAUUUGAAGAUAACUAGGCAACACCACCCGACAAUAAUAUUAAUUUUAUCCACUCUCAAAAUACUCUUCUUUUUCGGAGGGGUUAUAUUCCGGCCGACACAAUCUGUCGUACGUCUGCAUGCUUUGCUUUUAUUUAAGUUUAUGUUUCUUUCAGGCAAUGCCCCCUAAUUACUUAGUUAAUUAGAGCCUAGCUUGAUUAAGCGUGUUUUAAGUGUGAAACUAAACACAGUACCUAAACGACCUGGUCAUGAUAAUCUAGAUUCAUUUUUUGGAAAAAUUAAUCCAGAUUCAUUUCCUCUUAACAGAUUUUUUAGUCAAUUAUCGGGGCGGUGUGUACGUAGACAUUGUUUCUAAUCACCGUACGUCGUUGUAUAGAAGUCAAUGGGUUGAACACGACAUUACCGUACCAUAUAUUCAGCAUAAAUUAAACCCUAUGAUUAGCUCACAAUAGAUAAUUGUUGCCCCUUUAACUAGUUAAUAAAGAAAGUGAAGGUAAGAAAAUGAGGCAAAGGAAUACGCUUAUAGUGGAAACACGCUUAUAAUCUCACAUCAUCUCUCGGCAUAAAUUAGUCUUUAGGUUUUGAAAACUUUUGAGAAAAAAAAACCGUGUGAUUUUGAUCAAAAAUAAAUAAAGAAUAGAAACACGUUUGGUACAUUAUUUGUUGCUUCGGCCCAUAUUUUAUGUUGAUCAAAUAAAUAAAUUAUAUACAAUAACUAGUCUAUUGUAAGUCAAAUGGUGCAAGGUGUUGUUUCGACUAAUCAACAACAAUCGAUCUACCUAUGUUUAAUUUCAGAAAACUUCAACGCUUUAUUAAAAUUCUCAAAAACUUCCGUGAAAACUACAUAGAGAAUAGUAGUGCAUCAUAUGUCAUAUAAGUGAUAGUUCCAUUGAGCUUCUAGCUUGUUUCUUUUCGUCUCCAUGGAUAAAUGUUGUCAUGGAUAAAUGUUGUCAACUGUGACUGCUUCCACGCGUAGCAUGUCAUGUUGCGGUCACCAUCAUUUCAGUUAUCGAAAGUUCAUGUAUACACCAUAGUGUAAGUAAAUCGAGAGCUGAUAUGUAAUCUCAGCCGUACAUUUAAUCUAGUUAUUAAUGUGGCACUAACCAUCAUUUUCACGUCGUUAAGGACAGAGAUACAGUAGGAGUCGGUAAACACCGUAACUAGACUGGGGAAAUCUGAGAGUAGCUAGAAAACUGAAGAACGGUGUGGAGUGGCUCAGCCAUAGAAUCCGGCGAUAGAGAAGCCGAUUCUCCUCUCCAAACAAAGCCAAAACCGCCAACAGACCAGUCUUCUUUGGAGAACUGAAGCUCAGACUCGUGGCCGCUAGUCCGCUACCUUCCAGCUCAUCUUUGCCGUCGUUUGAUCUCUUCCAAACCCAGGUUGGUUUCUGGGAGAAUUGAUUUGCAGAGGUAAAUAAGUAAUUGGGUUUGCCGGUUUGGUAUUAAAUGAUAUGAAUCAGAGGGUAAUUUGCUCUCGUUUAUCAUUGCCCUUUUGACCCCAAUUUCCCCACCAAAUAGAAUCAAUUGUUCAAGCAAAACUGAUGAAUUUCAUGAGGAUGAGGGUUGGGCAAGAAGAAGCAAUUGGAAACAUGAAACCCUAUAAAUGAAAAUUGAGGAAUUGAAAGGUUGAGGAAUCUGAAGGCCGAAGAGGAAGAAGAAGCAAAUAUGGAAUUUAGGAAGUUCGGGGAGGAUGAAGAAGCAUAUCUGGAAUUGAGGAAGGUCGGGAGGAUGAAGAAGCAGAUCUGGAUGGAGAGGUUGGGUUUUGGAGGCAGGGAGAUGGAGAGCUGGGUUACGGAGGCAAGGGAGAUGAAGAGAUGAGCGCAGCAGAAGGCUUUUACUGUAAAUUUUGUGUUUUUACUGAUUUUUUAUUGCUAACAGCGUUUGUUAUCUGUUAAUGGUUUAAGUGUACCUUGGUGCACUGAAUCCACUUUGGUGCACUGAAUCCGUUCCGUUUCUGCAAUAGAGAACUUCAGUCGUAGCUCACUGCUAACUUUUUGGUCGUCCCCUGCUUGCUGAUUAAAAAAAAUAUUUUAAGAAAGAAAGUUCUUAUAGACUGAGUUGCCCUUUGGCGUUCUGUACUCGUUAAUUUUUAAAAUUUUCUGCAUAAUUGUUCAACCAGAAAAAAGAAUCUUAAGCAUUAUAUAUAGGCUUUACUUUCAACCUCAUUCAGUCAUUGUCAUUUCUGAUUUGGGUUUCACUUCAUUUCUGACUUGUUUAGCGCAUUGUAUUGGUCUCUACACCCCAAAAUGAAGUUUGGAAAGGAAUUUGCAGCACAAAUGGUGCCAGAAUGGCAAGAAGCAUACAUGAACUACAACUACCUAAAAUCACUCAUAAAAGAUAUUCAACACUCUAAGCAAAGAGACAAGCCUCCUCCUCCUCCGGCGACCACCACAACGCCCCACCAAAUAAAGCGGAGGCACACAUUGUACAGAGCCUUCAGUGGUCUCACCAGAAGUCGACACCACCAAGAACCUUUUAGCCCAAAUCCGGACAUCGAAAACCAAGCCAUCUUAGUAAACCCUGUGAGAUCAGAAGGGUCUAAUCACGAGAGUUACCAGACCACUUUCUUAAUGGCUGCCGAGGAAGGCGGGGUUAUGGAGUUGGAUUAUUUCAGAAGGGUUGAUGAUGAGUUCAACAAAGUUGAGAAAUUCUAUAGGGGAAAAGUUGAAGAGGUCCUGAAGGAAGCUGCUGUGCUUAAUAAGCAAAUGGAUGCUUUGAUCGCUUUUCGGAUUAAGGUGGAGAAUCCUCAGAGGCUGUUUGAUUGGUCCGGCGAGAUUACUCGUCUUGCUUCAGAUGUUGCAACUUCCACAGCUCAGUUGGCUGCUUCAACUCCUAGAGGGGUCAGAGCAAGCAGUAUGUACUAAUUAGCACAAAAAUGGUUAUUUCGUUUGAUAGAAAAUGAGAUAAAUAUGCAUAUAAUGUGUUUCGUUUCAUUUUCAGGACGUGCGGCUAUGGCUAUGGAUGUGAUCGAAGAGGGCGGGUCAAGUAGCCAAGGGGAACAUUCCGGUGAAGAUGAUAAAGAUGAGAAAGAGAAAGAAGAACUUGUUGGUAGGAAGGUUAAGGUAGAGAAGCCAGAGAUGUUUAGAGGGUCUAGACCUGCACCACUAGAUGUUCUAAGUCGUGUGACAAUGAAUCAAACCGUUGAGACUCCAGUUUCGACUAUUAAAGGCUUCCUCAAUGUGCCUCUGCAGACCGA
Molecule: long non-coding RNA, 6365 nt
Filed under: Fragaria vesca (wild strawberry)
Lineage: Eukaryota; Viridiplantae; Streptophyta; Magnoliopsida; Rosales; Rosaceae
Description: long non-coding RNA (FVES_LNC002031)
Source: RNAcentral